ACACAAGGACAUACCAUCCUGAACAUGCCUGAUCUCAUCUGAUCUCAGAAGCUAAGCAGGGUCAGGCCUGGUUAGUACUUGGACAGGUGACACAUGCACGUGUAUGUU
This is a ribosomal RNA of Pan paniscus (pygmy chimpanzee), 108 nucleotides long. NCBI's taxonomy places the organism in Eukaryota, Metazoa, Chordata, Mammalia, Primates, Hominidae. The record is from Ensembl.